UACGUAGGCAGCAAGCGUUGUUCGGAGUUACUGGGCGUAAAGGGUGUGUAGGCGGUUGUUUAAGUUUGGUGUGAAAUCUCCCGGCUCAACUGGGAGGGUGCGCCGAAUACUGAAUGACUAGAGUGCGGGGGAGGAAAGUGGAAUUCCUGGUGUAGCGGUGAAAUGCGUAGAUAUCAGGAGGAACACCGGUGGUGUAGACGGCUUUCUGGACCGUAACUGACGCUGAGACACGAAAGCGUGGGUAGCAAACAGG
Molecule: ribosomal RNA, 253 nt
Filed under: uncultured bacterium
Lineage: Bacteria
Description: partial 16S ribosomal RNA
Rfam family: Bacterial small subunit ribosomal RNA
Source: RNAcentral